Molecule: non-coding RNA, 74 nt
Organism: Pelecanus crispus (Dalmatian pelican)
Lineage: Eukaryota; Metazoa; Chordata; Aves; Pelecaniformes; Pelecanidae
Source: Rfam
GCCGGGUUAGCUCAGUUGGUUAGAGCAUGGUGCUAAUAACACCAAGUUCACAGGUUCAGUCCCUGCUUACUGCA